GGUAGUCCACGCCGUAAACGAUGUCGACUUGGAGGUUGUGCCCUUGAGGCGUGGCUUCCGGAGCUAACGCGUUAAGUCGACCGCCUGGGGAGUACGGCCGCAAGGUUAAAACUCAAAUGAAUUGACGGGGGCCCGCACAAGCGGUGGAGCAUGUGGUUUAAUUCGAUGCAACGCGAAGAACCUUACCUACUCUUGACAUCCAGAGAACUUAGCAGAGAUGCUUUGGUGCCUUCGGGAACUCUGAGACAGGUGCUGCAUGGCUGUCGUCAGCUCGUGUUGUGAAAUGUUGGGUUAAGUCCCGCAACGAGCGCAACCCUUAUCCUUUGUUGCCAGCGGUUAGGCCGGGAACUCAAAGGAGACUGCCAGUGAUAAACUGGAGGAAGGUGGGGAUGACGUCAAGUCAUCAUGGCCCUUACGAGUAGGGCUACACACGUGCUACAAUGGCGCAUACAAAGAGAAGCGACCUCGCGAGAGCAAGCGGACCUCAUAAAGUGCGUCGUAGUCCGGAUUGGAGUCUGCAACUCGACUCCAUGAAGUCGGAAUCGCUAGUAAUCGUAGAUCAGAAUGCUACGGUGAAUACGUUCCCGGGCCUUGUACACACCGCCCGUCACACCAUGGGAGUGGGUUGCAAAAGAAGUAGGUAGCUUAACCUUCGGGAGGGCGCUUACCACUUUGUGGUUCAUGACUGGGGUGAAGUCGUAACAAGGUAACCGUAGGGGAACCUGC
Molecule: ribosomal RNA, 726 nt
Filed under: uncultured bacterium
Lineage: Bacteria
Description: bacterial SSU rRNA
Rfam family: Bacterial small subunit ribosomal RNA
Source: RNAcentral